Xenia sp. Carnegie-2017 is the source of this 825-nucleotide long non-coding RNA. RefSeq lists it as uncharacterized. The record is from RefSeq and is a predicted model, not a curated record. The transcript has 2 exons. Lineage: Eukaryota; Metazoa; Cnidaria; Anthozoa; Malacalcyonacea; Xeniidae.
GACCAACUGAGCUAUGAAGUCACACAGUGGUGAGCUUUCAAGUUUAGAAAGUUUGAAAUUCCUUUCGAUUUUACUAUAAUAUAAGAGAGGGAUGUUGGGAAAUCAUUAAUCGUUUGAGUUGAGACUAACAAGACUUACCGAAGUAUCGGGAGACGUUUUUCGCGUUAACAAUCGUGUAUCUUCAGUCGAUACAGACACGGAAAACGCUAUAAAGUUUUGUCAUUCAAUCGAUAAAUGGAAAACAUUGAAACGCACGGACGUGAUCUUGUCGACAAUUUGGGCAAUCUCAAGAAAGAAACUUAUAUUGCCAAAUUUACAACCGACUUAAAUCACUGGGAUAUACCUGAAAUACCGAGAAUGAAUGCUUUGUUAGACGAGCAAUCGUCAAAGUUGAUAGGAUUUCUUAGAGCAAUCGACCAACACGUGAACAUACUUCGUACAGAAAUGAGAACCGAGAAUGACCAACUCAGAGAAGACAUUAGACAAUUGAGGGCAGAGUUUGCAGAUAUGCAAAGGCAAAGUAACGAAAUGAUAAGGAACAUUUCAACUUGACUCAAUACUAUUUUGGGCUUUCAAUCUCGAACAAUGUAUUCACAUUUUUUAAAGCAGUUUUGCAGACACUAAACCUACGUUACUUAACGUCUAAAAAGCUCUUGAUAUCCGUCUAAAGCAUCAUUUACAAUGUAAUGUUUUUACAAAUAUGGCUAGUAACGCCGGUAAUUGUAAUUUUACUUGUAGAUAUAAACAUUGCUUAGUUUAAUAACUUCAUUUAUCCUUUUAAUAAUUUGUAUAAAAAUAAAUAAAGGAACAGUUAUAAGUUUUUAA